Molecule: ribosomal RNA, 460 nt
Filed under: uncultured bacterium
Lineage: Bacteria
Description: partial 16S ribosomal RNA
Rfam family: Bacterial small subunit ribosomal RNA
Source: RNAcentral
CCUACGGGUGGCAGCAGUGAGGAAUAUUGGUCAAUGGGCGCGAGCCUGAACCAGCCAAGUCGCGUGAGGGAGGACGGCCCUACGGGUUGUAAACCUCUUUUGCCGGGGAGCAACGGGCGUCACGUGUGGCGCCACUGAGAGUACCCGGAGAAAAAGCAUCGGCUAACUCCGUGCCAGCAGCCGCGGUAAUACGGGGGAUGCGGGGGUUAUCCGGAUUUUUUGGGUUUAAGGGGUGCGUAGGCGGAUCGUUAAGUCGGUGGUAAAAUUGGGGGGUGCAACCCCUUACCGCCAUUGAUACUGGCGCUCUUGAGUGGAAGAGAAGUAUGCGGAAUGCGUGGUGUAGCGGUGAAAUGCAUAGAUAUCACGCAGAACCCCGAUUGCGAAGGCAGCAUGCCGGCUUCCGACUGACGCUGAAGCACGAAAGCGUGGGGAUCGAACAGGAUUAGAUACCCGAGUAGUC